UCCAGUCCCACAGACCAGGUGAACUUAGAAGGGACUUCAGAACUGUUAAAGAUGAAUUUUUAAAUCACCUAUGUAAAGAGGGAAAAACUUGCACAUUUAAGUGAAUAUUGGUAAGAACACUUAAUAACUUAC
Molecule: long non-coding RNA, 132 nt
Organism: Lontra canadensis (Northern American river otter)
Lineage: Eukaryota; Metazoa; Chordata; Mammalia; Carnivora; Mustelidae
Exons: 3
Source: RefSeq, a predicted model, not a curated record